GAUUCUUAUGGCUCUGAUACUAAUGUUAGCCAAAAUGCAGGGAUUCUCAAAGGAAUCCGAGGUUUUAGCAGCUAGACAGGAGCUUAGCGGAGAAGCUUGAGUUAUUCAGCUAUGGUGGAUGAAAAGAUAGAAGAUGAAGAAUACAAUUUCAUUGAAAAGUGUACUUGUAUAUUCAAUAGAUGAUUCAAACUGUAGUGAUACAAUGCCUUAUAUAGAAAUGAGAAAGAAUUUUAUCUUGCUAACUGCUUCUAACUAAUCCAACAUCAUAACUAAGUACUCAUAAGGCAAAAAACUAACUAAGACCAGCUGAUUCAUUUAUUGUGUAACAUUUAAUUGUUAGCUCCUUGUAGUUGUUAAUUAAUAUC
This 365-nucleotide long non-coding RNA is filed under the name Solanum tuberosum (potato). RNAcentral's name for it is "long non-coding RNA (STUB_LNC006119)". The record is from RNAcentral. Lineage: Eukaryota; Viridiplantae; Streptophyta; Magnoliopsida; Solanales; Solanaceae.